AGAGCGAAGAUAUGUUGUUAACAAGGGCAAAAACAAGAUGCAGUUUGCUGCAUAUAGAAAACAGAGGGAUCCUAUUGAAAAGCAAUGAAGAAGAAUUGAAUUAUUCUAUUGCAGAGCUCAGGAUAAACUACGCUUCUUUACCAGAAAAAUUUACGAAAUAAGAGUUGGAUAAGAUGGUAAGUAAGUGGGUUUGGUAUUCAAUGUGGCUGUGUUUAGUUAAUUUCUGUAGAGUAUUAAAUGCUUGAAUACAAAGACUUUUGGCCUUCUUUGAAGCCCAAGUGAUUCAGAUUUCAAAUUUAUGUGUACAUUGAUAAGUGUGGGUGUAGACACCCAAUAUGAUUCUUACAUGGUGUUGCUAUGUGGAUUUUGACGGAAUUAUAUUGGGGAUUGUCCAAAUUUUGGUUUAGCUGCAGAUGAAGCAAGAUCAAAAGGUUAUAAAUUAGAGGUAUAAUUUAAUUUUUAUAUUUGAUGCAUCGUUGGAUUAAUGAAUAUAGUAGGAACAUUGACUUGGAGUAUGUGCUUUCGUUCAUUUUUUAGAAUGGAAAACUGAAUUUGUGUUUUUAUGAGUGUGUAUAUACUCAGUACUUAUUUUAAUUACAGUGGAAGUGAUUGAAAAUUAUCGAGAAUUAGUAAAGUUUACACACCGAAAGAAAUAGAUCGAAAAUAGCAUUAUUUAGUAGUAAGGAAAAUUAGGGUUUCAAUUAAAGGAUGGCAGGAGGAGGAGGAGGAAGACCUUUGGGGCAAACACCAACUUGGGCAGUUGUCGAUAUUUGUUUUCAUUUGGUUUUGGUUUUGAUCCACAUCAAAUAUUUCAUUCAUUUAAUUGGAAAGGUUUCCUUUCACACGUAAUUGGGUUAAUUUCAUCUUAUCAAGUCACUUUCGGGUUUAUUAUGAAUGUGAAAUGAAUUAUUUUGAUUAAAUUUGAAUUGCAAUCCUUGCAGUGGUUGACAAAGAGAAACAAAAGAGCUCUCUAUGAAGCUCUUGAGAAUAUGCUAUUAGGGCUCCUAUCUUUGCUUCUAACAGUAGGACAAGACCGCAUUUCAGAUAUGUGUACAUCGAAGGCUGUUGAAGCUACUUGGCAUCCAUGCAAUAGUAAGCAACAUAUCAAAUCAGACAAAGGCAAAGAUAAGAGUGGUGCUUCAGAUGACAACUCCCGCAGAUGGCUUCCCUCAGCCUUGGAUUCCAGUGGGGGGUGGCCGAUGUGAGCUGCUGGAUAUGACAAAUGUGCAACCAAGUUUAAGAGCGCCCACGCGUUAAUCAUCGUGGAUUGCUCUGCUUCGACUACGUUUCCGUCCGUUUCCAUCGCCAUUUCUUUCCCUCUUUUUCUCUCCCGACUCUCUCUCACUGCCCUAUUCUCUCACGCCCGCUCACCAUCUCACUCCAGGCAAUACAUACAUGAACUCGAUGAGAAGCCACCAUCUCUUAUCUACAAAGCGAAUAAGAACUCAGCAGAUUUAGAUUGUAGAAAAAUGAUCAAAAACAGCUUCAAGCAAGCACAUGAGUUUGAGAAGAGACGCGCUGAAUCUCACUCCGCCAUUCGCCCCUCCGUCCUCUCAUGAUCUCUCACACCCUCUCUCUAAUUUCAGAACAAUAUUAAGCAGCUUGAGCUCUCUUUGCAUUGAAUCAAUGGCAGUCAUCUAGAGGGAUUUCUUCUUUGUGAUCAUCUUCAUGUUUGAUUGGUGAUUUAGCGUGUGGAUUGUCUACUUCUUUGAUGAAAACUCACACCGUUGGGACUAAUAUAGGUUUCUCAUAUUUUCUUCCACCAUUUGUGAGGGAUUUAAUUUUCCUUUUCUGGUUUUCUUAUACUCAAGGUAUGAUUUACAUUCUGGAAUUCAUGGUUCAAUUGGAAACCACGAUGACAUAUCAACGUGUGUUGGACCCUCGAUUUUGUAUUAUUUACAUUCCUGCCAUUUUAUGUUAUUGUGUUAUUUGGGUAUGAAUUCUUCCGUUGUUUGUCCAUGCAGGCCGAGGUUAAGGGGCAAAAAAUCACAUGGUUGACCCCUCACCCUUUGCAUUUGAGUCUACUGAGUUCUGCGGAUUCACUCAAUUGCAAUCAUCUCUUACAACACUUGCACCGUGAAGUCGAUGAAAUUGGGUUCCAUUUGUCCAGUUUAUAAAAUUCCAUAUCGACGCAGAGGCACUGGGAAGACGACUCUGUCUACGGAUCAUAAUCGGUAUCUAAUUGGAGAUGAUGAGCACUGCUGGGGCAACAAUGGUGUGUCAAACAUUGAAGGUGGUUGCUAUGCCAAGUGCAUUGAUUUGUCAAUGGACAAGGAACCAGAUAUUUGGAAUGCUAUCAAAUUUGGGACUGUUUUGGAGAAUGUCGUGUUCGAUGACCAUAAUCGAGAAGUUGAUUACUCAGAGAAAUCUGUUACUGUCGUGAUUGAGGGAGCUUGAAAUGGCAAUUGGAUUUCACGUCGUUGGUAAGGAAGACCCUUCAAGCGUCUUCCAUUUUGUUCUAUCGCUUUUCUGCUUCUCUUCCUCCCUCUUUCUCUCCCCCUCUCUCUGCCUCAAAUUCAAUCCGGUCAUCUAAAAACGUAGUUCUUCUAUUUUUCUCUGCCAUUUUCCAGAAACGGAUCAGGCGUUUCAGAUUUGGAUUUGGAUUUUGGGGAUUGUAUGAUUAUAUCUCUAUUCAUUUGGCUGUCUCGAUCAAUAAUUUCAAUCUUCAGAUUUGCGAAUGCCCUUUGCUAUCUGCUCGAUUGGAAGUGCUCAAUAUCUUUGAAAAUCCUCUCACUAAUACAUGUGCAUCUUGCCUCUCCGCUAUCUUGGAAAAUUGCAAGGGUCUAUCUGGGGGAGCAGUAUGUAUCCUAUGCUGCCCAAUGUCAUUUUCUUAGUCAAAGGUUUAACAUCUCAACCCUAGCAGCCAGAACCCCAAAGGUUGCAUCUUCCAAGUGGGGAAUUACGUUAGGGUUUCAAAUCGGGAGAUGCGUAUUCGAACUCUAAUUCAUGAUUUGUGUUUGUGAUCUUUACGAUUCGUUCGAGGAACCAAUGUUUCGUCAUCUAGAUGUUAAGUGUCUCCAUGGUCAAUGUCCCAUUCUUCAUUGUUGACAACUUUAUCAUUUGAUAUACUUCAACUUCUCAUUCUUCAUGAUUCAGACUUUCAGCUAUAUCGAUUAGUACUGAGUGAAGUACAAGUGGCAAUAGAGAAUAAUGUGAAAAGAUUUGUUACGAGUUAAAGGUGAAUCCGAGGAUCCUUCCCGCCUCUUCCAUACUCUUAAGUUCGCAACCUCUGCCGCUUCCAGCUCUGGACUCAGAUCCGAAGCCCUCAUGUUUAAACAAGAAGCUAAAGCGUAAUCAAAGGAUUUGUCGACCUAUUGUGGAAGGGAUGGACAGAAGUCCCAAGCAUCAAUCUCUUUGUGAUCAUUGCUGGGAAAAUAUCGUGGUCAUUUUGAGUUCGGAUUCAGCUAGCAUGUGAUCUGUGCAAGCUAUCCAUAUCUGGAUCAAUGCUAUGGACUCUUCUCAACCUAUGGACCUCAAAUUUCAGUGUGUCUUCCAUCAUUUAUCCUACCUCACUAUGCAUGGAGCUAUUACAUUUGCAAUCAUAUUAAUUUCUUGAAAACAAUAUUUAUAUUUCUCUGUAAACUGCUAAUUUUGGAAUAUACUAUCGUUUCCUUGCUGGUACAUUAAAAUGAAAAUAUGAAAAGUAGUCUCAAUCUCGCUCGGGGGUGUUGUAGGCCAAUUCGAUGCUACGAGGCACUUCGUUUAGGGCUAUCUGAGGGUGAGAGGUGUUGGGUGUCUGAGACAAGGGGUUUCAGUUUAGGGAACCAAAACAUUCAGUUUCGUCCUGUUCAUUGUACAAUGUCUUUUCAUGUGAGUUCAGUUCAAUGUAUAUAAAAACGAAGUUGCAUAUCUUACCGACCCCAUUUACUCAUCUA
Molecule: non-coding RNA, 3875 nt
Organism: Malus domestica (apple)
Lineage: Eukaryota; Viridiplantae; Streptophyta; Magnoliopsida; Rosales; Rosaceae
Source: RefSeq, a predicted model, not a curated record